GAUGAACGCUGGCGGCGUGCCUAAUACAUGCAAGUCGAGCGAACGGACGAGAAGCUUGCUUCUCUGAUGUUAGCGGCGGACGGGUGAGUAACACGUGGAUAACCUACCUAUAAGACUGGGAUAACUUCGGGAAACCGGAGCUAAUACCGGAUAAUAUUUUGAACCGCAUGGUUCAAAAGUGAAAGACGGUCUUGCUGUCACUUAUAGAUGGAUCCGCGCUGCAUUAGCUAGUUGGUAAGGUAACGGCUUACCAAGGCAACGAUGCAUAGCCGACCUGAGAGAGUGAUCGGCCACACUAGAACUGAGACACGGUCCAGACUCCUACGGGAGGCAGCAGUAGGGAAUCUUCCGCAAAGGGCGAAAGCCUGACGGAGCAACGCCGCGUGAGUGAUGAAGGUCUUCGGAUCGUAAAACUCUGUUAUUAGGGAAGAACAUAUGUGUAAGUAACUGUGCACAUCUUGACGGUACCUAAUCAGAAAGCCACGGCUAACUACGUG
This 497-nucleotide ribosomal RNA is filed under the name uncultured bacterium. RNAcentral describes it as "partial 16S ribosomal RNA". It matches the Rfam family "Bacterial small subunit ribosomal RNA", at positions 28 to 507 of the family's 1533-position model. The record is from RNAcentral.